CGACGACCGGCGGAUGGGUGCGUAACGCGUAUGCAACUUGCCUCACAGCGGAGAAUAACCCGGAGAAAUCCGGACUAAUGCUCCAUACACUCUCGGGAACACAUGUUCCUGGGAGGAAAGAUUUAUCGCUGUGAGAUAGGCAUGCGUCCUAUUAGGUAGUUGGUGAGGUAACGGCUCACCAAGCCGACGAUAGGUAGGGGUGCUGAGAGGCAGAUCCCCCACAUUGGGACUGAGACACGGCCCAAACUCC
Molecule: ribosomal RNA, 250 nt
Filed under: uncultured bacterium
Lineage: Bacteria
Description: partial 16S ribosomal RNA
Rfam family: Bacterial small subunit ribosomal RNA
Source: RNAcentral